This is a non-coding RNA of Pelobates cultripes (western spadefoot toad), 230 nucleotides long. NCBI's taxonomy places the organism in Eukaryota, Metazoa, Chordata, Amphibia, Anura, Pelobatidae. The record is from the annotation of a GenBank genome assembly.
CCUGGGUGCUGCCCAGACUGGAGGUGUUGAGGACACUGCGGACGCAGAACCUCCUCUAGACUCAGACACCAUUUUGGACCCCUUUGGUCAGGCGAUGUUCGACCCCCGCAACAUACGGCACCCCAGAUCGGGUGACUGGUCACCUCCAGAACACCUUUCCAGGUUUAUGCACCUGUGGCUCCGCAAACCUCUGGAGAAGGAGGUCCGCAGCCGACUCAGGUCUGAAUGCC